UCUGCUCCUAGAAGUAUUACAGAUGCUGUGCCAUGUGUGUCAUUAUGUAGCAGACAAAAGAGACACU
Non-coding RNA from Erinaceus europaeus (western European hedgehog), 67 nucleotides. Lineage: Eukaryota; Metazoa; Chordata; Mammalia; Eulipotyphla; Erinaceidae. The record is from Rfam.